RNAcentral lists this ribosomal RNA (573 nucleotides) under Rhodocybe caelata. RNAcentral's name for it is "partial small subunit ribosomal RNA". It matches the Rfam family "Bacterial small subunit ribosomal RNA", at positions 354 to 916 of the family's 1533-position model. Lineage: Eukaryota; Fungi; Basidiomycota; Agaricomycetes; Agaricales; Entolomataceae. The record is from RNAcentral.
GUCAAGAAUAUUAGUCAAUGCUCGCAAGAGUGAACUAGCUAACUGAAAUCAUAAAAUCAUUAAUAGUGGUGAUAUGAUAACGUAAGGGAAAAAAAUGAUAUUACCUUACUAUUAGUGUUGUCCAAAGCUGGUGCCAGAAGACUCGGUAAGGCCAGAGACGCAAACGUUAAUCGUCCUAAUCAGGCGUAAAGGGUAUGUAGGCUGCUUUGAAAAUAAUAUUUAUAAUAGCUCUAAUUCAUAUUUAAUAAUAAUUAUUAUUAUUCCAUACUGAAUAGUUUAAAUAAAAUGAUUAAAAGCUAGAAUCAUAAAGAGGAUAAGCCAAAUAAUACUUAAUGUAGGGUUGAUAUCUGCAGAUAUUAAGGAGAAUACUCAUGGUGAAAGCUUUUAUCUAACAAUGAUUGACGCUGAGAAACGAAGGUGAGAACAGGAAAUAGGAUUAGAGACCCAGAUACCUCUCACUGUAAACGAUGAAUGGUGGUUGUUAGUAAUAGUAAAACUGAUGACGAUGUUAACACGAUAACCAUUCCGCCUUGCGAGUACGGUUGCAAAACUGAAACCAAAAAAAUUAGUCGG